GCGAACGGGUGAGGAACACGUAAGAAACCUACCCCAUAAACGAGGAUAACCAUUGGAAACGAUGGCUAAUACUGGAUAGGAUAUAGAGUCGCAUGGCUUUAUAUUUAAAGGUGCCCCAAAGCACCGUUAUGGGAUGGUCUUGCGCUGCAUUAGCUAGUUGGUAGGGUAACGGCCUACCAAGGCGACGAUGCAUAGCUGGUCUGAGAGGAUGAACAGCCACACUGGGACUGAGACACGGCCCAGACUCC
RNAcentral lists this ribosomal RNA (248 nucleotides) under uncultured bacterium. Its description in RNAcentral is "partial 16S ribosomal RNA". It matches the Rfam family "Bacterial small subunit ribosomal RNA", at positions 98 to 339 of the family's 1533-position model. The record is from RNAcentral.